Molecule: ribosomal RNA, 774 nt
Filed under: uncultured Neocallimastigales
Lineage: Eukaryota; Fungi; Neocallimastigomycota; Neocallimastigomycetes; Neocallimastigales
Description: partial large subunit ribosomal RNA
Rfam family: Eukaryotic large subunit ribosomal RNA
Source: RNAcentral
GUACACGCUGUGACUAGCAUAUCAAUAAGCGGAGGAAAAGAAACUAACAAGGAUUCCCCUAGUAACGGCGAGUGAAGCGGGAAGAGCUCAAAUUUGAAAUCUUAAAGGGUUUCCCUUUACGAAUUGUAGUUUAAAGAAGUGUUUUCUGUUGAGGUUUUGGUAAAAGUUCUUUGGAAUAGGACAUCAUAGAGGGUGAGAAUCCCGUAUUUGACCUUUACUUUCAACUUUGUGAUACACUUUCAAAGAGUCGGAUUGUUUGGGAAUGCAGUCCAAAAUGGGUGGUAAAUUUCAUCUAAAGCUAAAUAUUGGCGAGAACCGAUAGCGAACAAGUACCGUGAGGGAAAGAUGAAAAGAACUUUGAAAAGAGAGUUAAACAGUACGUGAAAUUGUCAAAAGGGAAGCGUUUGACACCAGUGUUGUUUUUCUGAAAAUCAAUUAAAGAACUGUUUAUGCUAAGUUGUUUAGACUUUAUCAGCUAACUGUUUAGUUUUGAGCUUUUCUUUAAUGCACCUUUUCAGUUAACAAGUCAACAUCAAUUUCUUUUGCUGUAAAAAAGCUUGAGGAAGGUGGCUUGAGAUUCGUCUUAAGUGUUUAUAGCCUCUUGCCUAUGCAGUCGGAGAGAUUGAGGUCUGCAGCGUAGAUCCUUCGGGGCUAAAUGCAUUGGUGCUAAGUUAUAGCAUUUUAUAGACAACUUGUUGACUAUGAUUUGUCUUGUAGCUUACUCGCUUAUGUUAUUUUACCUACGCUUAGGAUGUUGAAGAUGUAGCACAUCAU